ACCUUGCGCGAAUGGAGCGGCCGAUGUCAGAUUAGCUAGUUGGUGGGGUAAAGGCCUACCAAGGCGACGAUCUGUAGCGGGUCUGAGAGGAUGAUCCGCCACACUGGGACUGAGACACGGCCCAGACUCCUACGGGAGGCAGCAGUGGGGAAUUUUGGACAAUGGGCGCAAGCCUGAUCCAGCCAUGCCGCGUGCGGGACGAAGGCCUUCGGGUUGUAAACCGCUUUCAGCCGGAAAGAAAUCGCCAAGGCUAAUAUCCUUGGUGGAUGACGGUACCGGAAGAAGAAGCACCGGCUAACUACGUGCCAGCAGCCGCGGUAAUACGUAGGGUGCGAGCGUUAAUCGGAAUUACUGGGCGUAAAGGGUGCGCAGGCGGUUUUGCAAGCCAGACGUGAAAUCCCCGGGCUUAACCUGGGAACUGCGUUUGGAACUGCAAGACUAGAGUGUGUCAGAGGGAGGUGGAAUUCCACGUGUAGCAGUGAAAUGCGUAGAUAUGUGGAGGAACACCGAUGGCGAAGGCAG
This 522-nucleotide ribosomal RNA is filed under the name uncultured bacterium. Its description in RNAcentral is "bacterial SSU rRNA". It matches the Rfam family "Bacterial small subunit ribosomal RNA", at positions 210 to 724 of the family's 1533-position model. The record is from RNAcentral.